GAGCCGCCCGUGUCAACCGGGCAUGACGGCAAGGAAUACAGGGACGAUUUUCCCGGUUUCCCGCCCUGGCAACAGCGAAUGGGCAUACGCCUUCCUAUCCCGUCCGGGCG
This 110-nucleotide small RNA is filed under the name Nitratireductor indicus C115. Its description in RNAcentral is "Rhizobiales sRNA Atu_At1". It matches the Rfam family "Rhizobiales sRNA Atu_At1". Lineage: Bacteria; Pseudomonadati; Pseudomonadota; Alphaproteobacteria; Hyphomicrobiales; Phyllobacteriaceae. The record is from Rfam by way of RNAcentral.